AUUGAACGCUGGCGGCAGGCCUAACACAUGCAAGUCGAGCGGAUGAAGGGAGCUGGCUCCUGGAUUUAGCGGCGGACGGGUAAGUAAUGCCUAGGAAACUGCCUGGUAGUGGGGGAUAACGUCCGGAAACGGGCGCUAAUACCGCAUACGCCCUGAGGGAGAAAGUGGGGGAUAUUCGGACCUCACGCUAUCAGAUGAGCCUAGGUCGGAUUAGCUAGUUGGUGGGGUAAAGGCCUACCAAGGCGACGAUGCGUAACUGGUCUGAGAGGAUGAUCAGUCACACUGGAACUGAGACACGGUCCAGACUCCUACGGGAGGCAGCAGUGGGGAAUAUUGGACAAUGGGCGAAAGCCUGAUCCAGCCAUGCCGCGUGUGUGAAGAAGGUCUUCGGAUUGUAAAGCACUUUAAGUUGGGAGGAAGGGCAGUAAGUUAAUACCUUGCUGUUUUGACGGUACCAACAGAAUAAGCACCGGCUAACUUCGUG
RNAcentral lists this ribosomal RNA (484 nucleotides) under uncultured bacterium. RNAcentral describes it as "partial 16S ribosomal RNA". It matches the Rfam family "Bacterial small subunit ribosomal RNA", at positions 30 to 507 of the family's 1533-position model. The record is from RNAcentral.